This 406-nucleotide ribosomal RNA is filed under the name uncultured bacterium. RNAcentral describes it as "partial 16S ribosomal RNA". It matches the Rfam family "Bacterial small subunit ribosomal RNA", at positions 30 to 526 of the family's 1533-position model. The record is from RNAcentral.
AUUGAACGCUGGCGGCAGGCCUAACACAUGCAAGUCGAGCGAGCGGCGGACGGGUGCGUAAUGUCUGGGGCUCUGCCCGAUAGAGGGGGAUCACUACUGGAAACGGUGGCUAAUACCGCAUACUAUCGGCUGAACCCAUAUGGUAUUAGCUAGUAGGUGGGGUAAAGGCGCACCUAGGCGACUAUCUCUAUCUGGUCUGAGAGGAUGAUCAGCCACACUGGGACUGAGACACGGACCAGACGCCUAAGGGAGGCAGCAGUGGGGAAUAUUGCACAAUGGGCGCAAGCCUGAUGCAGCCAUGCCGCGUGUAUGAAGAAGGCCUUAGGGUGGUAAAGUACUUUCAGCGGGGAGGCGUUACCCGCAGAAGAAGCACCGGCUAACUCCGUGCCAGCAGCCGCGGUAAUAC